This 729-nucleotide ribosomal RNA is filed under the name uncultured organism. Its description in RNAcentral is "bacterial SSU rRNA". It matches the Rfam family "Bacterial small subunit ribosomal RNA", at positions 21 to 744 of the family's 1533-position model. The record is from RNAcentral.
GGCUCAGAGUGAACGCUAGCGGCGUGGUUAAGACAUGCAAGUCGAACGAUGAAGCCCAGCUUGCUGGGCGGAUUAGUGGCAUACGGGUGCGUAACACGUGAGCAACCUGCCUUGAAGUGGGGAAUAGCCCGGGGAAACCCGGAUUAAUACCGCAUGUGGUCUCUUUUCGCAUGAAAAGACGACUAAAGUUUGUAAUGACUCUUCAAGAGGGGCUCGCGGCCUAUCAGCUUGUUGGUGAGGUAAAGGCUCACCAAGGCAAAGACGGGUAGCUGGUCUGAGAGGAUGAUCAGCCACACUGGAACUGAGAUACGGUCCAGACACCUACGGGUGGCAGCAGUUUCGAAUCAUUCACAAUGGGGGAAACCCUGAUGGUGCAACGCCGCGUGGAGGAUGACGGCCUUCGGGUUGUAAACUCCUGUCACCAAGGAACAAACGGCAGGUUCAUAGCCUGUCCUGAGUUAACUUGGAGAGGAAGAGGUGGCUAACUCCGUGCCAGCAGCCGCGGUAAUACGGAGACCUCGAGCGUUACUCGGAUUCACUGGGCGUAAAGAGUAUGUAGGCGGCUUGGUAUGUCAGGUGUGAAAGCCCGAAGCUCAACUUCGGAAUUGCGCCUGAAACUACCGGACUUGAGGCCUGGAGAGGGGAGUGGAAUUCCUGGUGUAGCGGUGACAUGCGUAGAUUUCAGGAGGAACACCAAUGGCGAAGGCAGCUCCCUGGACAGGUUCUGAC